CAGCCGCCACGGGAAUACGAAGGGGGCUAGCGUUGCUCGGAAUUACUGGGCGUAAAGGGCGCGUAGGCGGAUGUUUAAGUCAGAGGUGAAAGCCCAGGGCUCAACCUUGGAACUGCCUUUGAUACUGGACAUCUUGAGUGUGGGAGAGGUGAGUGGAACUCCGAGUGUAGAGGUGAAAUUCGUAGAUAUUCGGAAGAACACCAGUGGCGAAGGCGACUCACUGGCCCAUUACUGACGCUGAGGCGCGAAAGCGUGGGGAGCAAACAGGAUUAGAUACCCGUGUAGUCCCUGUCUCUUAUAU
This 301-nucleotide ribosomal RNA is filed under the name uncultured bacterium. Its description in RNAcentral is "partial 16S ribosomal RNA". It matches the Rfam family "Bacterial small subunit ribosomal RNA", at positions 509 to 809 of the family's 1533-position model. The record is from RNAcentral.